UGCAAGUCUGGUGCCAGCAGCCGCGGUAAUUCCAGCUCCAAUAGCGUAUAUUAAAGUUGUUGAGGUUAAAAAGCUCGUAGUUGAACCUUGGGCCUAGCCGGCCGGUCCGCCUCACCGCGUGCACUGGCUCGGCUGGGUCUUUCCUUCUGGAGAACCGCAUGCCCUUCACUGGGUGUGCCGGGGAACCAGGACUUUUACUCUGAACAAAUUAGAUCGCUUAAAGAAGGCCUAUGCUCGAAUACAUUAGCAUGGAAUAAUAGAAUAGGACGUGUGGUUCUAUUUUGUUGGUUUCUAGGACCGCCGUAAUGAUUAAUAGGGACAGUCGGGGGCAUCAGUAUUCAAUUGUCAGAGGUGAAAUUCUUGGAUUUAUUGAAGACUAACUACUGCGAAAGCAUUUGCCAAGGAUGUUUUCAUUAAUCAGGAACGAAAGUUAGGGGAUCGAAGACGAUCAGAUACCGUCGUAGUCUUAACCAUAAACUAUGCCGAUUAGGGAUCGGACGGCGUUAUUUUUUGACCCGUUCGGCACCUUACGAUAAAUCAAAAUGUUUGGGCUCCUGGGGAGUAUGGUCGCAAGGCUGAAACUUAAAGGA
RNAcentral lists this ribosomal RNA (590 nucleotides) under Chaetomium globosum. RNAcentral's name for it is "SSU rRNA". It matches the Rfam family "Eukaryotic small subunit ribosomal RNA", at positions 554 to 1151 of the family's 1831-position model. The record is from RNAcentral. Lineage: Eukaryota; Fungi; Ascomycota; Sordariomycetes; Sordariales; Chaetomiaceae.